AUUGAACGCUGGCGGCAGGCCUAACACAUGCAAGUCGAACGAGUGGCGGACGGGUGAGUAAUGUCUGGGACCCUGCCCGAUGGCGGGGGAUACCUACUGGAACCGGUAGCUAAUACCGCAUACCAUCGGAUUUGCCCAGGUGGGAUUAGCUAGUAGGUGGGGUAACGGCUCACCUAGGCGACGAUCCCUAGCUGGUCUGAGAGGAUGACCAGCCACACUGGAACUGAGACACGGUCCAGACUCCUACGGGAGGCAGCAGUGGGGAAUAUUGCACAAUGGGCGCAAGCCUGAUGGAGCCAUGCCGCGUGUAUGAAGAAGGCCUUCGGGUUGUAAAGUUCUUUCAGCGGGGAGGCGGUACUCGCAGAAGAAGCACCGGCUAACUCCGUGCCAGCAGCCGCGGUAAUUC
RNAcentral lists this ribosomal RNA (406 nucleotides) under uncultured bacterium. RNAcentral describes it as "partial 16S ribosomal RNA". It matches the Rfam family "Bacterial small subunit ribosomal RNA", at positions 30 to 526 of the family's 1533-position model. The record is from RNAcentral.